AGGGAUUUAGCUCAGUGGUAGAGCGCUUGCCUAGGAAGCGCAAGGCCCUGGGUUCAGUUCCCAGCCCCG
Molecule: transfer RNA, 69 nt
Filed under: Rattus norvegicus (Norway rat)
Lineage: Eukaryota; Metazoa; Chordata; Mammalia; Rodentia; Muridae
Rfam family: tRNA
About the family: Transfer RNA (tRNA) molecules are approximately 80 nucleotides in length.
Source: Rfam by way of RNAcentral